This 460-nucleotide ribosomal RNA is filed under the name uncultured bacterium. RNAcentral describes it as "partial 16S ribosomal RNA". It matches the Rfam family "Bacterial small subunit ribosomal RNA", at positions 338 to 795 of the family's 1533-position model. The record is from RNAcentral.
CCUACGGGCGGCAGCAGUGAGGAAUAUUGGUCAAUGGACGAGAGUCUGAACCAGCCAAGUAGCGUGAAGGAUGACUGCCCUAUGGGUUGUAAACUUCUUUUAUAUGGGAAUAAAACGUUCCACGUGUGGGAUUUUGUAUGUACCCUAUGAAUAAGGAUCGGCUAACUCCGUGCCAGCAGCCGCGGUAAUACGGAGGAUCCGAGCGUUAUCCGGAUUUAUUGGGUUUAAAGGGAGCGUAGGUGGAUUGUUAAGUCAGUUGUGAAAGUUUGCGGCUCAACCGUAAAAUUGCAGUUGAAACUGGCAGUCUUGAGUACAGUAGAGGUGGGCGGAAUUCGUGGUGUAGCGGUGAAAUGCUUAGAUAUCACGAAGAACUCCGAUUGCGAAGGCAGUUCACUGGACUGCAACUGACACUGAGGCUCGAAAGUGUGGGUAUCAAACAGGAUUAGAUACCCCAGUAGUC